UACACCUGUUCCCAUUCCGAACACAGAAGUUAAGCUCUCUAGCGCUGAUGGUACUUGGUGGGAAACUGCCUGGGAGAGUAGGACGUAGCCACGUU
Molecule: ribosomal RNA, 95 nt
Filed under: Clostridioides difficile
Lineage: Bacteria; Bacillati; Bacillota; Clostridia; Peptostreptococcales; Peptostreptococcaceae
Source: RNAcentral